Long non-coding RNA from Falco peregrinus (peregrine falcon), 2749 nucleotides. RefSeq lists it as uncharacterized. The transcript is spliced from 3 exons. The record is from RefSeq and is a predicted model, not a curated record. NCBI's taxonomy places the organism in Eukaryota, Metazoa, Chordata, Aves, Falconiformes, Falconidae.
CAGCAAAUACACCCCAGAAGAGGAGGCAAACACACAAAGUGAGCAAAAAGUGUAAAAAGAAAGAGAUUUUUAUUUACUCAUGUCACUAAAGCCCAGUGCAAAUGCUGUACUUAUAUUAAUAGAAAACAGCCAGAACUAUCCAGAAAGAACAGUGUAUUCUUUCCAAAUCCUUAAUCUCAUCAGUGAUUUUUUGACCUCUAUUAAUUGGUAGCCAGAUGUAAUUUAAGCAGUCCCUUUACCCCCAGGCUAAGAACCAUCAGUAAAUAACUGAAUGACCUCCCUUUCUCUCCUUCAGUUCAUGCUAUUUCAGAGAGAAUAAAGCUAUAGAAAAAUAUCCCAUUAUAUGGUAAAAAUGUUCAGAUAGGAGGGAAUGAAGGAGAUUAUUUAAUCACAGCUGGAGUGAACAAAAGUACCAGCAGGAAUCCAGAGGAUAAAUAGGGGAACAUGGCAGCAUGGAAACAUCUCUGGGAUCCCUCCUGCACAGCAGCAAGGUGUACAACGCAGCAUGCUUGGGACUUUCAUUUGUCUCCCAUGUAAUACAUUCUGUGGCACUAAUAGGGAAGCUGCUCCUCACGGAACUGCCUCGCUGGAGGAGCUUGCUUUGCUGCAGCCCUGCUCUUCCUUCGGCUGUUCCUGUGUCACUGGCAAACCAUCAGUGCCGAAUUCCUCCCCCUUCCCAGGAUAAGGAUGUUUGGGUGACUGUUAUAAUGACUUCAGGGAUCCAGUCAGACACAGACUUCUGCUCAGCUCCACAAGCUUGAAAUGCCUUCCAGAACUGGGGGCUUGGGGUAUAAGCCAGAGGUCCCUCCUGUGAGGCAACGCCCCUGCCCCCCAGACAAUGCAGAGACCCCACAAAAUCCCUGGAGCCAGCAAAGGGGGCGCAGGAACUUUCCCCAUCAUUUAUUAGGGACCUGUGGCAACGAGUUACGCAGCAAAUAUCUCACUGUUAUUUGCAGGUUGUUGCUCGAGCCCAGUCACAGUGCACACGGUGCAUGGCAUAGCCUGCGAGGCGGGUUGGGAGAACAGCCUUUCCCUGCAUGGUGAUGCCUCCUGACCCUCCUCAUCAGGUCCUGAUGGGUGAUUUUGCACUAUUGGGACCCUGGAGAUGUGAGAGUUAACCCCACAGAUGCAACAUGUGCAAGGAAACCUCCUCCAGUGCCACCCAGCUUGCUCCCUCCCUUACAAGCCCCCCCUGCUUUGCAGCAGUCUGUGAGUAGGGGGGCUUCAGCUGCCACCCUGGGCACCCCAGCUUUACCUUCACAUGUCGGGGGAGGUCCUUCGAACUGCAGGUGAGUGCCCAGUUUGCAGGUCAGGAUUUCAUUUCCAAUCAAGGUAAAGCCAGGAAGGCAUCUGUACCUCACUAUGUCACCUACAGACGGAAACAGAAAACACCUUGAUCCAAGAGAAGCAUCAAUUCAUGCAGACUGAGCCGUGCCCUGGAAAGGGGGUACCACGGGGAGCAGAGACCUCUCGGCUGCGCCUCUGCCAUCCAGCUCUGGCAUGACCAUGCAGAAAUAGAAGGCGUAGAUGCAGAAAUAAAAGGCAUAGAAAGGCACGCUGGAGUCUCAGUUGGAUUAAACUGCUGUCACACCGCUGAGACUAUUAUGAUUUGUGCAAGCUAUUUCAGGUAGAGACUUUCCUCAAAGAGAGCAGAUAGUGAGAAAAGCUGCUUUAAAAAAAAUAAAAAAAAAAAAUCACAGCUACUUUGCUGGCUGCAGACGCAGUUAAAAUGUGGAUGUAACCAUGCGCCACAGCAAAAAAAAAUAAAAUAAAAUACAAAAAGCACAGUCAAUAUGGGUGAAAAGUUCUCAAAGAAAAGAAUAACGGCCUCUAAGCUUUCACACAAAUCUUUGUUUGAAACGCCUGAAAACUAUUAUUGUGGCAAAGAUUUCAGAAUAUUUCUGAACAAGCUCGGGGCUCUCAAAAGCCAAAGCACUUCUGCUGUACUAACAGAGAGGAAGAGCCUCAGGACAAUCAGAUCAGUUUGACUCCCUGUGAAUAUCGGGUGCUGAGCAAGGUCCCGUGCAGCUCCCCAUGCGGUCACCCAUGGGAAAAGGUCUCCUGAACCCCCAGAUAUGGGGUGACAGGACCUGGGGGUCUUCCUGUGGGCACUGCCAGCAGCUGGCGAGGGGGAAUGGAGGGCUAGGAGGCCUGGGAGAGGCUACCUUUGUUAAAUUCUUUGUUCUCAGUGAUGAUUUCUACGUUGGGAACGAAGGUCGGAGGCCGAUGUCUGAAGAGCUGGUAGGCUGGAAGAGCAAAGGAAGAGUAGCAGAAGUUAGGCUGGGGGUGAAAGCAGCCACAGCCAUCUCGGUGCUAAGCACCAUGGACAUCAGUGCAAAUCCUCCCUCUCCACAAGUAGCAGGAAUCGGCAAAAGUGCAACCAGCCCUUUCCCCCUCCAAACCCUACAGAGAUGGAUCCAGGAAAAGAAGAUCCCAGCCUGCAAGACUCCUGGGGUGAAGCAAUCAGUGCCACUUCAUAAACCGCAGCAGAGCUGCACCCACUUUACAUCAGAGGUCAGAGCUCCCAGUUGCUGCUAUUUAAAAGGCAGCUGAGGGUCACAGCCAGGGCUGGUGCCUAAUGCCAUUCCAGCGCUGCCUCUGCAGCCUGGGAGAGCAGCUUGGAUGGUAGGGCUGUGCAUCUCCGAUGGCAAAAGAAAAACCAAAAGAGGACAUUGGGCAGACUAACACAGGCAGCCUCGACCUAGCACCUUCAAAGAGUGGCAAAUCCACAAAGAGAUGGGGCACUGCC